RNAcentral lists this ribosomal RNA (167 nucleotides) under uncultured Bacillus sp. RNAcentral describes it as "partial 16S ribosomal RNA". It matches the Rfam family "Bacterial small subunit ribosomal RNA", at positions 1215 to 1382 of the family's 1533-position model. Lineage: Bacteria; Bacillati; Bacillota; Bacilli; Caryophanales; Bacillaceae. The record is from RNAcentral.
UACACACGUGCUACAAUGGCCGGUACAGACGGACGCAAAGCCGCGAGGUGGAGCAAAUCCUAAAAGCCGGUCUCAGUUCGGAUUGCAGGCUGCAAUUCGCCUGCAUGAAGUCGGAAUCGCUAGUAAUCGCAGGUCAGCAUACUGCGGUGAAUACGUUCCCGGGCCUU